GGUUAAAUGACUUGCCAGGAUCACAUAGCUAGGAAAUAUCUGAGGUUGGAUUUGAACUCAGGAAGAAAAGUCUUCUUCACUCCAGAUAAAGAAGCACUGGCCUAAAGAGAUUUAGUGACUUGUCCAAUGUCACACAAUCCAGAAGCAUCAGAGAAAUGCCUGGAGAGACUUGCAUGAACUGAUGCUGAGUGAAAUGAGCAGGACCAGGAGAUCAUUAUAUACUUCAACAACAAUACUAUAUGAUGAUCAAUUCUGAUGGACGUAGCCCUCUUCAACAAUGAGAUGAACCAAAUCAGUUCCAACAGAACAGUAAUGAAUUGAACCAGCUACACUCAGUGAAAGAACUCUGGGAGAUGACUAUGAACCACUACAUAGAAUUCCCAAUCCCUCUAUUUUUGUCCGCCUGCAUUUCUGAUUUCCUUCACAAACUAAUAGUACACUAUUUCAAAGUCCAAUUCUUUUUGUACAGCAAAAUAAAGGUUUGGACAUGUAUACUUAUUUAGUAUUUAAUUUGUACUUUAACAUAUUUAACAUGUAUUGGUCAACCUGCCAUCUGAGGAAGGGGGAAGAAGGAGGGGAAAAAUUGGAACAAAGGAUUUGGCAAUUGUCUUUGCUGUAAAAUUACCCAUAUAACUUGUA
Antechinus flavipes (yellow-footed antechinus) is the source of this 639-nucleotide long non-coding RNA. RefSeq lists it as uncharacterized. The transcript is spliced from 3 exons. NCBI's taxonomy places the organism in Eukaryota, Metazoa, Chordata, Mammalia, Dasyuromorphia, Dasyuridae. The record is from RefSeq and is a predicted model, not a curated record.